RNAcentral lists this ribosomal RNA (730 nucleotides) under uncultured Pseudomonadota bacterium. RNAcentral describes it as "bacterial SSU rRNA". It matches the Rfam family "Bacterial small subunit ribosomal RNA", at positions 71 to 796 of the family's 1533-position model. Lineage: Bacteria; Pseudomonadati; Pseudomonadota. The record is from RNAcentral.
AGCGCGGGGGCAACCCUGGCGGCGAGCGGCGAACGGGUGAGUAACAUAUCGGAACGUACCCUAUCGUGGGGGAUAACACAGCGAAAGCUGUGCUAAUACCGCAUACGACCUGAGGGUGAAAGCGGGGGAUCGCAAGACCUCGCGCGAUAGGAGCGGCCGAUAUCGGAUUAGCUAGUUGGUGAGGUAAAGGCUCACCAAGGCGACGAUCCGUAGCGGGUCUGAGAGGACGACCCGCCACACUGGAACUGAGACACGGUCCAGACUCCUACGGGAGGCAGCAGUGGGGAAUUUUGGACAAUGGGGGCAACCCUGAUCCAGCCAUUCCGCGUGAGUGAAGAAGGCCUUCGGGUUGUAAAGCUCUUUCAGCAGGAACGAAACGGUGGCUACUAAUACUAGCUACUAAUGACGGUACCUGAAGAAGAAGCACCGGCUAACUACGUGCCAGCAGCCGCGGUAAUACGUAGGGUGCGAGCGUUAAUCGGAAUUACUGGGCGUAAAGCGUGCGCAGGCGGUUAUGUAAGACAGGUGUGAAAUCCCCGGGCUCAACCUGGGAACUGCGCUUGUGACUGCAUAACUCGAGUGUGGCAGAGGGGGGUGGAAUUCCACGUGUAGCAGUGAAAUGCGUAGAGAUGUGGAGGAACACCGAUGGCGAAGGCAGCCCCCUGGGUCAACACUGACGCUCAUGCACGAAAGCGUGGGGAGCAAACAGGAUUAGAUACCCUGGUAGUCC